AUGCCCUGGGUCCCAGUUUUCACAUUCUGGUCACUGUGGAUGCGGGAAAUAAGAAGAUCUUUUCUUCACAGUUUUAGGAGAAAUGCCAGAAAACGUCCUCGCCCAGACGUGCUGCUGCGAUCCAAGAUUUCGCUGCGGUUAACGCGAAGAGAGGAGGGAAGCGCACCUCCGCCCGCGCAGCCGCCCCCAGUCCUGCCCGCCGCGGCGAGCGGCCGCUGCGGGGCCGAAGAGGCGAUGCCGGGGGAGCCAAGCGCUGUCCCCCCCCCCACUUUCCCUCCCGGCGGCAGAGCGAGCGAGCAAACUGCCCCCGACCAGGUUUGCGAGGGCCGGGGCCGGGGAGGGGGCCGGGCACGGGAUGCGGCGGGGGCACCCAGCAGCCGGGACGCGCCGGCCCCCGCUCUCCGUGCGGCGCUGCCCCUCGGCCUCGCAGCCCCCGGGGCACGGAGGGGUUUGGGGGCCCGGAGCGGGGCCGGCCCGCACCCGCUGCUCCUGCCGGGGGAGGGCGGGCGGAAUCCCCCCCGCCGCCGCGGCCGCUUCACCGGGGAGGGAGCGGUGGGCUCCGACAGGCCGGGGGAGGCCGCCUGGGGAGCGGGGACGGCUGCCGAGGCUUGGGCCGGCACUUGGUGCUCCUGCCCUUGUCCCUAUUGCUGGGGGAAGCGGGGGGCGAACCCCAGCGGCGCCGAACGAGGGCUAUCGGCUGCCAGGCUGGCGAAGCCCAGCGCCUUUGAGCCGAGGAGAACCGUGCGAGAUUCGAGACUGGCGGGGGAAAGGUUUGAAGGCGGAUUUUAA
RNAcentral lists this long non-coding RNA (789 nucleotides) under Anas platyrhynchos platyrhynchos (common mallard). Its description in RNAcentral is "lncRNA (ENSAPLG00000023012.1)". The record is from RNAcentral. Lineage: Eukaryota; Metazoa; Chordata; Aves; Anseriformes; Anatidae.